RNAcentral lists this unclassified non-coding RNA (336 nucleotides) under Hevea brasiliensis (rubber tree). The record is from RNAcentral. Lineage: Eukaryota; Viridiplantae; Streptophyta; Magnoliopsida; Malpighiales; Euphorbiaceae.
AACCCAUAUCGAGAGAAAUUAACCUGCGGUUCAUCAAAGCUUGAGGAACAUCCCCUUGCACAAUUCUUUGAGCAAGCCCCUCCGAUAUAGCAGUUUUUCCAACACCAGGUUCACCAAUCAAUACAGGAUUGUUUUUUGUUCGUCUUGAUAAAAUUUGUAUGCAUCUGCGAAUCUCAUCAUCCCUACCAAUAACAGGAUCAAGUUUCCCAGCACGCGCCAUAGCUGUCAAAUCCUUUCCAUAUUUCUCCAAAGAUUCAUACUUGCCCUCAGGAUCUUGGUCAAUAACACUUUGUCGUCCUCUUAUAGAUUCUAUGGCUGAUUUUAGGGUCUUGAGAG